GUAACAUUGAUACAACCUAAGGAUUUUUCUCAACAAUUGUUGCCCCUUGUGUAUGUAGGUGCACAAAAUAGGAAUCAGUCCUUUUGUUUACCAGGUUACUUAAAGAACAUUAACGUACGAGGAAAAUUAGUGUUUUGUGAUAUGCAAGGAGAAGCUCCAAGUAUUGUUCCAGGAAAGAAGUUCUAAACUCAGGUGAUGCUGACAUGAUACUUGCAAAUUCAACAACUUUAAAUUUCAGCAUUUUUGUUAUUCCUCAUGUUUUACCGACCGUUGAAGUGACUUAUGCAGCUGGUUUAAUGAUCA
Molecule: long non-coding RNA, 303 nt
Filed under: Lathyrus oleraceus (garden pea)
Lineage: Eukaryota; Viridiplantae; Streptophyta; Magnoliopsida; Fabales; Fabaceae
Description: Pisum sativum (pea) long non-coding RNA (PSAT_LNC035139)
Source: RNAcentral